RNAcentral lists this ribosomal RNA (497 nucleotides) under uncultured bacterium. RNAcentral describes it as "partial 16S ribosomal RNA". It matches the Rfam family "Bacterial small subunit ribosomal RNA", at positions 28 to 507 of the family's 1533-position model. The record is from RNAcentral.
GAUGAACGCUGGCGGCGUGCCUAAUACAUGCAAGUCGAGCGAACGGACGAGAAGCUUGCUUCUCUGAUGUUAGCGGCGGACGGGUGAGUAACACGUGGAUAACCUACCUAUAAGACUGGGAUAACUUCGGGAAACCGGAGCUAAUACCGGAUAAUAUUUUGAACCGCAUGGUUCAAAAGUGAAAGACGGUCUUGCUGUCACUUAUAGAUGGAUCCGCGCUGCAUUAGCUAGUUGGUAAGGUAACGGCUUACCAAGGCAACGAUGCAUAGCCGACCUGAGAGGGUGAUCGGCCACACUGGAACUGAGACACGGUCCAGACUCCUACGGGAGGCAGCAGUAGGGAAUCUUCCGCAAUGGGCGAAAGCCUGACGGAGCAACGCCGCGUGAGUGAUGAAGGUCUUCGGAUCGUAAAACUCUGUUAUUAGGGAAGAACAGAUGUGUAAGUAACUGUGCACAUCAUGACGGUACCUAAUCAGAAAGCCACGGCUAACUACGUG